UCCUGUUGUUGUUUUGGAGUUUAUGGCAUCAAAGAAGUUUAUGGUGACCGCCCGAACAUGGACUGCGGCCGAGGGAUGUUUUGCCCGUUUUGUGGCAAACACAUGAACAGCUUAACGCGGUUUUGCUUUACGUGUGGUCGGUGUUUGGAGUUUUUAAAGGACGCGGACAAGACGGAAACAUUGGAAACACAGGGGACGUCUUGACAGCCGGACAGUGCUAUGCAAAAACAGCCAUGCCCAUCAUACAAACAGUUCAUGGAGUACAGAAGCUCGAAAUCAAAAGAACGACAGUCUUUUAACUAUGGGCCAAAA
Coregonus clupeaformis (lake whitefish) is the source of this 312-nucleotide long non-coding RNA. RefSeq lists it as uncharacterized. The record is from RefSeq and is a predicted model, not a curated record. The transcript has 2 exons. Lineage: Eukaryota; Metazoa; Chordata; Actinopteri; Salmoniformes; Salmonidae.